UACGAAGGGGGCUAGCGUUGCUCGGAAUCACUGGGCGUAAAGGGCGCGUAGGCGGGGAGGUAAGUCGGGUGUGAAAUCCCUCGGCCCAACCGAGGAACUGCGCCCGAGACUGCUUCUCUUGAGUCCCGGAGAGGAAGAUGGAAUUCCCGGUGUAGCGGUGAAAUGUGUAGAGAUCGGGAGGAACACCGGUGGCGAAGGCGGUCUUCUGGACGGUGACUGACGCUGAGGCGCGAAAGCGUGGGGAGCAAACGGG
RNAcentral lists this ribosomal RNA (253 nucleotides) under uncultured bacterium. RNAcentral's name for it is "partial 16S ribosomal RNA". It matches the Rfam family "Bacterial small subunit ribosomal RNA", at positions 524 to 776 of the family's 1533-position model. The record is from RNAcentral.